RNAcentral lists this non-coding RNA (28 nucleotides) under Bombyx mori (domestic silkworm). The record is from RNAcentral. RNAcentral also lists the same sequence under 2 other names. Lineage: Eukaryota; Metazoa; Arthropoda; Insecta; Lepidoptera; Bombycidae.
UGGUAGAAUGCUCGCCUGCCACGCGGGC